GACGAACGCUGGCGGCGUGCCUAAUACAUGCAAGUUGAGCGCUGAAGGUUGGUACUUGUACCAACUGGAUGAGCAGCGAACGGGUGAGUAACGCGUGGGGAAUCUGCCCUUGAGCAGGGGACAACAUUUGGAAACGAAUGCUAAUACCGCAUAAAAACUUUAAACACAAGUUUUAAGUUUGAAAGAUGCAAUUGCAUCACUCAAAGAUGAUCCCGCGUUGUAUUAGCUAGUUGGUGAGGUAAAGGCUCACCAAGGCGAUGAUACAUAGCCGACCUGAGAGGGUGAUCGGCCACAUUGGGACUGAGACACGGCCCAAACUCCUACGGGAGGCAGCAGUAGGGAAUCUUCGGCAAUGGACGAAAGUCUGACCGAGCAACGCCGCGUGAGUGAAGAAGGUUGUCGGAUCGUAAAACUCUGUUGGUAGAGAAGAACGUUGGUGAGAGUGGAAAGCUCACCAAGUGACGGUAACUACCCAGAAAGGGACGGCUAACUACGUG
RNAcentral lists this ribosomal RNA (497 nucleotides) under uncultured bacterium. RNAcentral's name for it is "partial 16S ribosomal RNA". It matches the Rfam family "Bacterial small subunit ribosomal RNA", at positions 28 to 507 of the family's 1533-position model. The record is from RNAcentral.